GGCGACUCCUACGGGAGGCAGCAGUGGGGAAUAUUGCACAAUGGGGGAAACCCUGAUGCAGCGACGCCGCGUGAAGGAUGAAGUAUUUCGGUAUGUAAACUUCUAUCAGCAGGGAAGAAAAUGGCGGUACCUGACUAAGAAGCCCCGGCUAACUACGUGCCAGCAGCCGCGGUAAUACGUAGGGGGCAAGCGUUAUCCGGAUUUACUGGGUGGAAAGGGAGCGUAGACGGCAGUGCAAGUCUGAAGUGAAAGGCGGGGGCCCAACCCCCGAACUGCUUUGGAAACUGCGCUGCUGGAGUGCAGGAGAGGCAAGUGGAAUUCCUAGUGUAGCGGUGAAAUGCGUAGAUAUUAGGAGGAACACCAGUGGCGAAGGCGGCUUGCUGGACUGUAACUGACGUUGAGGCUCGAGAGCGUGGGGAGCAAACAGGAUUAGAUACCCGAGUAC
RNAcentral lists this ribosomal RNA (445 nucleotides) under uncultured bacterium. RNAcentral describes it as "bacterial SSU rRNA". It matches the Rfam family "Bacterial small subunit ribosomal RNA", at positions 331 to 793 of the family's 1533-position model. The record is from RNAcentral.